AGACUUUGAUUAUGGCUCAGAACGAACGCUGGCGGCAGGCCUAACACAUGCAAGUCGAGCGCGCCCUUCGGGGUGAGCGGCGGACGGGUGAGUAACGCGUGGGAACGUGCCCUUUGCUGCGGAAUAGCCACUGGAAACGGUGAGUAAUACCGCAUGAGCCCUUCGGGGGAAAGAUUUAUCGGCAAAGGAUCGGCCCGCGUUGGAUUAGGUAGUUGGUGGGGUAAUGGCCUACCAAGCCGACGAUCCAUAGCUGGUUUUAGAGGAUGAUCAGCCACACUGGGACUGAGACACGGCCCAGACUCCUACGGGAGGCAGCAGUGGGGAAUCUUAGACAAUGGGCGCAAGCCUGAUCUAGCCAUGCCGCGUGAGUGACGAAGGCCCCUAGGGUCGUAAAGCUCUUUCGCCUGUGAUGAUAAUGACAGUAGCAGGUAAAGAAACCCCGGCUAACUCCGUGCCAGCAGCCGCGGUAAUACGGAGGGGGUUAGCG
This 487-nucleotide ribosomal RNA is filed under the name uncultured bacterium. Its description in RNAcentral is "bacterial SSU rRNA". It matches the Rfam family "Bacterial small subunit ribosomal RNA", at positions 8 to 540 of the family's 1533-position model. The record is from RNAcentral.